AGAGUUUGAUCAUGGCUCAGGAUGAACGCUGGCGGCGUGCCUAAUACAUGCAAGUCGAACGAGGCUCUUUUUGUAGCAAUACGAGGAGUGUCCUAGUGGCGAACGGGUGAGUAACGCGUGGGCGACCUGCCCCAAAGUGUGGAAUAACAGUCCGAAAGGAUUGCUAAUACCGCAUGUGGUCACCGGGUUUAGAAACCGAUGACUAAAGGAGUAAUCCGCUUUGGGAGGGGCCUGCGUCCCAUCAGCUAGUUGGCGAGGUAAUGGCUCACCAAGGCUACGACGGGUAGGGGACCUGAGAGGGUGGCCCCCCACACUGGAACUGAGACACGGUCCAGACUCCUACGGGAGGCAGCAGUGGGGAAUAUUGGGCAAUGGGCGCAAGCCUGACCCAGCAACGCCGCGUGAGGGAAGAAGGCUUUCGGGUUGUAAACUUCUUUUAGACGGGACAAAACCCCUUUACGUGUAAAGGGUUGAUGGUACUGUCAGAAUAAGCAUCGGCUAACUUCGUGCCAGCAGCCGCGGUAAUACGUAGGUGUCAAGCGUUGUCCGGAUUUAUUGGGCGUAAAGAGCCCGCAGGCGGCCUGGCAAGUUUGAGGUGAAAUCUCCCGGCUCAACUGGGAGGGCGCCUCGAAAACUGCCAGGCUUGAGGCAGGGAGAGGGAUGUGGAAUUCCAGGUGUAGUGGUGAAAUGCGUAGAUAUCUGGAGGAACACCAGUGGCGAAGGCGAUCUUCUGGUCUGUUUCUGACACUCAGACGCGACAGCUAGGGUAGUAAACGGGAUUAGAGACCCCGGUAAUCCUAGCCAUAAACGAUGUGAACUUGGCGUUGGUGGGUUAAACUCCAUCAGUGCCGAAGCAAACGCGAUAAGUUCACCGCCUGGGGACUACGGCCGCAAGGUUAAAACUCAAAUGAAUUGACGGGGGCCCGCACAAGCAGCGGAGCGUGUGGUUUAAUUCGAUGCUACACGAAGAACCUUACCCAGGCUUGACAUACAGGUGGUAGAGAUCCGAAAGGUGAUCGACCCGCAAGGGAGCCUGAACAGGUGUUGCAUGGCUGUCGUCAGCUCGUGUCGUGAGAUGUUCGGUUAAGUCCGCUAACGAGCGCAACCCUUGCCGCGUGUUACAUGUGUCACGCGGGACCGCCGGUAUUAAGCCGGAGGAAGGCGGGGAUGACGUCAAGUCAGCAUGGCCUUUAUGCCUGGGGCUACACACACGCUACAAUGGGCAGUACAAUGGGUUGCCAAGCCGCGAGGCGGAGCUAAUCCCCCAAAACUGUCCUCAGUUCAGAUUGCAGGCUGAAACUCGCCUGCAUGAAGCCGGAGUUGCUAGUAAACGCGCGUCAGCUAUAGUGCGUUGAAUACGUUCUCGGGCCUUGUACACACCGCCCGUCACGUCAUGGGAGCUGGCAACACCUGAAGCCGGUAGUCUAACCGCAAGGAGGACGCCGUCGAAGGUGGGGCUGGUGACUGGGACGAAGUCGUAACAAGGUAGCCG
Molecule: ribosomal RNA, 1492 nt
Filed under: uncultured sludge bacterium
Lineage: Bacteria
Description: bacterial SSU rRNA
Rfam family: Bacterial small subunit ribosomal RNA
Source: RNAcentral